CUCCAUACUAUUACAAGUCACCUCCUCCUCCAUCUCCAGUUUACAUAUACAAGUCACCACCUCCUCCAUCACCUACUUAUGUUUACAAGUCACCACCACCACCAGUGAAGUCACCUCCCUAUUACUAUCAAUCUCCACCUCCACCAUCACCAAAACCUCAGCCUCCUUAUUAUUAUCACUCUCCACCUCCUCCAACACCAGUUGUUAAGCCACCAUACUACUACCAAUCUCCACCUCCUCCAUCUCCAAAACCUAAGCCUCCAUACUACUACCAAUCUCCUCCUCCUCCAUCACCAAAACCUAAACCUCCUUACUACUACCAAUCUCCACCUCCUCCAUCACCAAAACCUCAGCCUCCAUACUACUAUCAAUCUCCACCUCCUCCAACACCAGUUGUGAAGCCACCAUACUACUACCAAUCUCCACCUCCUCCAUCACCAAAACCUCAGCCUCCUUACUAUUACCAAUCUCCACCUCCUCCAACACCAGUUGUUAAGCCACCAUACUACUAUAAAUCUCCACCUCCCCCAUCACCCUCUCCUCCACCACCAUACUACUACAAAUCUCCACCACCACCAUCCCCAUCACCGCCACCUCCAUACUACUAUAAAUCUCCACCUCCACCAUCACCGGUUGUUAAGCCACCAUACUACUAUAAAUCCCCACCUCCCCCAUCACCCUCUCCUCCCCCUCCAUACUACUAUAAAUCUCCACCUCCAUACUACUACCACUCUCCACCUCCACCAUCACCAGUUGUUAAGCCACCAUACUACUACAAAUCUCCACCUCCACCAUCACCCUCACCUCCCCCUCCAUACUACUAUAAAUCUCCACCCCCACCUUCACCAUCCCCUCCUCCUCCAUACUAUUAUAAAUCACCACCACCACCAUCCCCAUCACCGCCACCUCCAUACUAUUACAAAUCCCCUCCACCUCCAUCCCCAUCUCCACCGCCUCCUUAUUACUAUCACAGUCCUCCUCCACCAUCUCCCACUCCUCAUCCUCCCUACUACUACAAAUCCCCUCCACCACCAACGUCCUAUCCUCCACCUCCUUACCACUAUGUGAGCCCUCCACCACCUUCUCCAUCUCCACCUCCACCAUACUAUUACAAAUCACCACCUCCUCCCUCCCCAGCCCCCGCUCCAAAGUACAUUUACAAAUCACCUCCAC
RNAcentral lists this long non-coding RNA (1173 nucleotides) under Phaseolus vulgaris (common bean). RNAcentral's name for it is "long non-coding RNA (PVUL_LNC001945)". The record is from RNAcentral. Lineage: Eukaryota; Viridiplantae; Streptophyta; Magnoliopsida; Fabales; Fabaceae.